CUGGGCUCUGUUCUGAGCUGUACAGGGAGAUGUGCAGAUGAGAACUGACCAAAAAUGGAAAAGGAGGAUGAGCUCACUGGGCAGAAGGAAAAAAAAAACCCCAACAUUUCAUUGGAAGAAGUUUUCCAGAGAGUGUGUGGAAUUCCCUGCUUGUGGGAUUCAAAGAUCUACUUGUUCUGACCCAGCUUUUGGAGUUCCCCUCUGAUGUGAAUGAUUUCAUCUUUGGAGGACCUUAGAAAUAGUCAUGAAUUCCUGCUGGGUUCAUUUUUGUCUGCACCAGCCUUUCACUCAUUUGUCUCUCAACACUUUGCUCUCCACGUGUCCCAGAAGAGUCCUCCAGCUCUUCCCUGAGUCUGGGAAUUCUGACCAGUGUGUUCUGCCACUGGAAAUCCCUCACCCUUCCAAAUCCAGACUUCAGCUGUGCUCUGUGGUGCUCAUCCUCAUCACCCUUCCAGGACUGUCAAAGAUCACCCCAGAAAUGAUGGAGAUUGCUUAAUUAACAAAGCCCUGACCUUGGAGAAGAUAAACAAGUCAGCGUGUGGAAGCUGGAGAAAGAAAAGUGUUCUGUUAUUACAUUUUCCUUACUUUGUUCCAAUUACUUUUGUAGCUGUUCCAAAUGCUUCACUGUAGCAUUGAAAUUAUUGGAUUUGAUGCUACCACAGUGGAAUAGGAUUCUGGAAUAAAUCCCAUUUUAAAAAACA
This 701-nucleotide long non-coding RNA is filed under the name Parus major (Great Tit). RNAcentral's name for it is "lncRNA (ENSPMJG00000010295.1)". The record is from RNAcentral. Lineage: Eukaryota; Metazoa; Chordata; Aves; Passeriformes; Paridae.